Lates calcarifer (barramundi perch) is the source of this 416-nucleotide long non-coding RNA. RefSeq lists it as uncharacterized. The transcript has 3 exons. NCBI's taxonomy places the organism in Eukaryota, Metazoa, Chordata, Actinopteri, Centropomidae. The record is from RefSeq and is a predicted model, not a curated record.
AGAAAACUGCCUGAACAAUGUUUGUGAGCUCAGCAGUGUAAAUGGAGAAGUGAAUGCCCACAUGGGACAAUGUGUGAAGAGGAGAGGUAGUCACAUGACCACAGCAGGCUGGGAGGUAUUCUCCAAAGACUCGGUGCUGGACCAAACCAGCAUUUUUGUUCUGGUUGAAGCCUUCAUUCAAAGGUUCAGAGACCUGCUUGAGCUUUGCCAUGUGGGAUAUCAUUUUCUCUUGACCAUGUGACUGCCACUAGCAGCUUGGCCGUUGGGAGGAGGGUCAGCAGAGGGCCUUGCUGCACUUCGGCGCGCGCCAGGGGCCAGAGGUCGUCCACUGCCUGCUGGAGAUACAGAGCAUCCUCCACCACUGCCUACAGAUUCUGCACUUUGUUGGCACAGGCAUCCUGGACGUCAAAACACCA